Molecule: ribosomal RNA, 376 nt
Filed under: uncultured organism
Description: partial 16S ribosomal RNA
Rfam family: Bacterial small subunit ribosomal RNA
Source: RNAcentral
GUAGGUGGCAAGCGUUGUCCGGGAAUUAUUGGGGCGUAAAGCGCGCGCAGGCGGUUCUUUAAGGCUGAUGUGAAAGCCCACGGGCUCAACCGUGAGGGUCAUUGGAAACUGGAGAACUUGAGUACAGAAGAGGAAAGCGGAAUUCCACGUGUAGCGGUGAAAUGCGUAGAGAUGUGGAGGAACACCAGUGGCGAAGGCGGCUUUCUGGUCUGUAACUGACGCUGAGGCGCGAAAGCGUGGGGAGCAAACAGGAUUAGAUACCCUGGUAGUCCACGCCGUAAACGAUGAGUGCUAAGUGUUAGGGGGUUUCCGCCCCGUUAGUGCUGCAGCUAACGCAUUAAGCACUCCGCCUGGGGAGUACGGCCGCAAAGGCUGA